Molecule: long non-coding RNA, 4641 nt
Filed under: Oncorhynchus mykiss (rainbow trout)
Lineage: Eukaryota; Metazoa; Chordata; Actinopteri; Salmoniformes; Salmonidae
Description: lncRNA (ENSOMYG00000064077.1)
Source: RNAcentral
CUGUUAUCCUUUACCAAAACAAAAUAUCUUGUUUGUACCCUUUCCAGUUACUCCUCCCUCCUCUGUGGCUCCAUACUGUCUAAGUGUUUGUGACUCAUACAACUUUCCUUCCCCCAGAGGCAAAAGGCCUUCCUUCAUUAUCACCAUAUCAGCUUAUACGUAGUGCUGCAGAUGAGGCUUUGAUGGUGAGUGGAUGUGAGGGAAUCUAGCAGAGGAUAGAUGCUGUCCUGAAAGACUUCUGUCACAUAUGAACUGUGGCGUUUCUGUCUACCUCGACCUAGUACUCUUUUGAGGUUGUGGACUUGGCAACGGCGUCUAGCCUUUGUGCAUACAUCCUUUCUUCUUCUUCAUGAAACAUUGUGUUUAUUGCUACAUUAACAGGAUAUCGUGUAAUCUGUUUACAGGUAGCCGUGCCAACCCCAUUGGAGAUGUAUGUUUGAAGAUAAUCGUAGGAAAUCCUCCACCCAACCCAGAGAAACCCUUUCCUGGUCAGCAGCAACCCUGGAGUACCCUACUACCUGACAGGGCCAGCUGGUCCCAGGGGAGCAGUUCCCCUUCCAGGAGCGACAGCAGCAGCUCUCCCACCCUCCUCACCUCAACACAGAAUCACGGGGCUGGAAGAACAAGUUCAAUCACCAUCAAGAUCACAAUCACCAUUGACUACAGAUCAAAUAUCUCUGGUUCCCACCAAUGAGAAACUCAAAAAGAUGAGACAAUGAACGUAAUGCAUUUUGUUAUUGUUGUUGUGAGAAACCCCAACUCAUCUCCUCCUCUAAAGGGGAAGUCUCACUCUUGUGCCACUGGUGUCGAUUUCCCCUCACAGAGACGAGAGACGGACAUGGCAUCACUCAGUUCCCCCUCGGGCUGGACAACAGGUCUUAUGUAAAGGAGCAGAGUGGUAGUUUUUCUGAGUGUGUGUGUGUGUGUGUUCACAUGUGUGUGUGUCUGCAUACAUGGUGGGGUAAGAGGUUUGUAAGCUGAUCAGGCUGUGUAAUGAUGUGCUGUGAUCAUCAACUGUGUCUCAUUUCAGAGAGAGAGAGAACUCCUGUCUUACUUCUCUGUAGGAAAUAUUUCACAUAUGAAUCACCUACCGCUCCCACAUGUAUUAUCCACAUCAGGAUAGAUGGAAUAAUUAAUUACAUUCUAAAGCCAUUAAACAUAGACAGAACAGUUAUGCAUUUUAAUGAUCAUCAUCCUUUAAAACAAAAUUCACAUUUUAAUUGAUUUUGUUUCCAUUACUUAAGUGUAGGAAUAGUUUUCUUUUAAAAAUACUUCCAAUUUUUGAACAUUUCUGUCACAUAAGACGUAUGAUGUGUAUUGAAACCCCACUCCCAUAACUCAUUGGGGUGACAGUGCCAAACAGAGCCGAAGACACCACGGCUUGAUAAGCAGGAUAUACGGUUACACCUGCCGAUAUGUAGAUAAGAUUACAUUUAAGACAGAGGGAUGAGUGGUGGAGGUGUAGGAGGUGGGUAAGAAUGGGGGGAUGUGGCCACUCAGUGAUGCAUGAAGAACAACAUCCAGGCUAGGGUAAGGUUGGGGUUGGGGCCGGGGCUGGGCGGAUGGCCAAGGGGUCGCGGGGUUGUGUUUACCUGUGGUAGGUAUUUCCUCUGGGAGCUGAUAAGACCGACGGAGGGGAAGUUCUGCGUUCCAGGUGAGUGCAGAGGGUCCUGCAAAACGACACCAAACACCAUCGACCCCCAACCCAUACCUAUACCUACCUCUCAGACUCCACCCCUACACACACCCACACACAGAUCCCGCCACUCCUCGACAUUCUGACACACACCUCACGCUCUGGCACGUUCGCUCACUCACCAAGACACAUUAAACACACAUGCCGGGCAUGGUUUCUCGCAGUCAUUCACACCCUCACGGACACAUAGGCCACUCAUGUUUAGUCAGCCAUGUUAUACUCUUGUCAUACUGUAGCAAUGGUAAAAAGGCAAUGUAAUGGGAUUGCAUCUUUAUAAGAUAUCCCAUACAAUUCACAGUAUCGCAUAAUAAAGGUAGGAUAGCUUAUAGAUCAAAUCUACCGUUGCUACAUUCAUUUUGGACUCAUAAAGGAAUUAUAUACUGUAUACCCAUUGAUUCUUGAAGAAUAUAACUUAUUAAGGCCCAAUGAGCUAGUUCAUCUGUUGUACCCCAUCAGAACCCAAAAUAGAAGCUUGUUUUACUCCAAUGUUUGUAAACAAAGAAAAUGUAAACAAACACUGUAUGGUCUUAAAACAUGGUUAAAACUAUAAUUUUGAUACCACAGAUGGUCAGUCCUUGUAUCAAUAACUUUGUCUAUGAAUUUGAGAGUGGUUACAUUUCUCCAGCCCCGCCCCUCAGCUUUUACCAAAACAGUGGUGGGGUGGACACUUUGUUAUUGUUUCAAUUGUGGAUUGGUCUUUUUAAACUGCACGAGAAAGCUUCAACAAUUCACAGUCUGACCUGUCGAUUGAAUAAAAUACGUAGACAUAAAUGAUGAAUUCUUCCACCCUGCAGGAGUGUCAUAGGAUUAGGCAGCUGUGGUACGGAGUCCCUCUUAGUUUGUUUGUUAUGAUUCUGUCUUCCCCUUCCUCACCUGGCCCAGCUCUGAGGCCCUCCCCCCAGGGUGCUGAGAGGAGUCAAUGAGCUAGAACAUGUUAACAAGGGAAGCCUAGACCAAUGUACUGACAGUCAUACAGAAAGGGCAGGGAGGAGGAAAGGGCCACUAUGACAAAGCAUGGUGCAAGAAAUUAUGCAAGAAAUGAUAGGGCUGCCCUUUUAGAAGUUGAAUGGUAAUCAAAUGGUCCAUUAAAUGUUGUGUACCUGUCCUUUGUUGUUGAUGGAAACCACACAGUGGUGGCGCCCUGGUGUUUGUUUUUGCAGAGCUUGGUGACAGGACUGGAAGCUCAGGUUCCCAUAAUAAACCAUUCUACCUGACUAUGACUAAACUUGACUACAUUUAAUUUCCUUGUUGUACCUCAUUUACUAGAAUAGAGAACAUGAGCUGGCGCACACCCAGAAUUUUUUUUUGUGGAGGUGCUGACUAACGGCGAAUAAACUCUGAACUAUAAAUAUAAACAGAGUCGCACACUCCAUAUACAGUAUAAACUCCCAGUAAUUUAUUGGGUAAAUCACCAACGUUUCGGCAUCACUGUGCCUUCUUAAGGAGUUUAUAUUUGGAGUGUGCGACUGUCUUUAUUUAUUACAUUUAAAAAAAGAAUUGUUCAUAGUACUUCACAUACUACAUACAGCAAAUUGGCCAAUGUUGAUAUUUUUCAGUGUAAAAUUUCCUGUGUUGAUUCUGGAGUUACAUUCACUCUGUAAUAUUUCAAUUAACACUUAGUGGUGUAUAAGAACCCACCGGUUUGGUGUUAAUAACAGAGUUAUCGUUUUACACCGUCCCAUCAAAACCACACCCAUUAUUAGCAUAUUUCACAGCACGCAGCUGCAGGUAGAUUGUUUUAGGUUGUUUUUCAAUAUCUGUGCGUGUACAUUGAUUUAUUAAUUAAUCUCACAAUACACAAAGAUAAAUAACAUUUAAAAAAGAAUUCAACGAAUCCAAUCAGUUAGUUACAUUUAUUGCACCCGUUACUGAAAUGGUUGUUCUGGUUUAAAUGGUUUAGGUCGUGGAUUUUAUGACAUCUCCCAACCCUGACAGUCAUUCUGAAUGCAGGUUGUGGGUAAAUAAAACAAUCCAACUUUUGGAUAUCCUAACUCUGACUGGAUUCCAAUAGGAAUUACACAUCACUUUGCAAGCCAGCAUAAUGUUAUUUGCAGGCCCGAUGUGGCCUGUAAACCAAGAGUUUCCUAACACCACUGGGUUAGGGUUAAACUACGCCAUCAACUAGGUCAAUAAGUAAGACCUUAUUAUAUAUGUAAUGUAUUGUAAUAGCGUUUAAUUUUAAUGAUAACCUUUACCCAGGAACUAAUUUGGUGAAUGCCACAGGUAUUUAAAAGGAAACAAUUCAACAACCACAUCUCUGUCUAUAAAUUACUCAAAAAGAAAGAAGGCCCCCUGAGAAAUAUGCAAAUGAGGCUUUAUACCAUACAGUUUUAAAACAACAACCAAAAAUGAUUUACUGUAACAUUACAGGUGUUAAUUUCUUACACUAAGAAAGUGUAACAGCAUCAGCACUAAGUGAAGUGAGUCCAGUUUACUCUAAAUCAAGUGUUAUGUUUUACACUGUAUUACGCUACAAUAGAGCUAUGCAAACACCACAAUCAAGUUCCUUUGAACACUUUAAGAGUAAAAUGGGGAACGCUGCAACAAAGUUACAUCUAAAACACUUUCAAAAGUGUUAAUUUUACACCCGUACAGUGGGACUCAUAUAUUCACUGAAAAUAGUGUACAUUUUACACUUUCAGAGUUGAAUGUACACCAUUGACUUUGCUAUGCACCAUCAUUAUAAUACAUCGUCCAAAGCAAUAUGUUUUCAACUUAGAUUUCAAAUGUUACGAUAUUGAGAAGGAAAUUAAAGUAGGCCCACACUCAUGCAAUGUGAAAUGUUUGGUAAAAAAAAAAAAAAAAACGUUCUUUCUGGAUUUUGGAGGCAUCGUGUGGGUUUAUACGCUGGUGUGCCUGUGUGUUACUGUGUGUGUCAGAGUAGCGUGACUGUUUUCUGCUAAGGAGAUGAAAGUAGUGUAUGAGGUAGGUGUGUAGUGGCACCC